Molecule: long non-coding RNA, 416 nt
Organism: Peromyscus leucopus (white-footed mouse)
Lineage: Eukaryota; Metazoa; Chordata; Mammalia; Rodentia; Cricetidae
Exons: 3
Source: RefSeq, a predicted model, not a curated record
CAGGACACCCUGGCAGUUUCCAGAAAGACUCGUGGUGAGAAACAGAGUCUCCAGCCAGCAGCCACAAGGGAAUUUAGGAUGAGUCCUCCAGCCUUGUGGUGGCUGCAGCCUACUCUGUGGCCUGACCAUGACAUCCUAAGAGACCCUCAGCCACACAAUCAGCUUCAGCUUAAGCCAUCCCAGGAUGCUGACUUCAGAACCAUGAUGGGUCUCACUCUGAAGCUCCAGCUGUGCUAGAUGAUGUAGAUCAGGCUCAAUGGAUCCUUCUCUCUCAGCCCCCACCACACUGAGACUGUCAGCCUGCUCCUGUUCGGUUCCUGGAGGUGAAAUGUCAAGCUGCCAGAUUUUCCUUCUCUUGCAAUGUCUAUUGGUCCAUGAACAAGAGCCUGGGUAACAAUAAACUACCCCUGCCUCAA